GCAUCGAUGAAGAACGCAGCGAAAUGCGAUAACUAAUGUGAAUUGCAGAAUUCAGUGAAUCAUCGAGUCUUUGAACGCACAUUGCGCCCUCUGGUAUUCCGGAGGGCAUGCCUGUCCGAGCGUCAUUGCUGCCCUCAAGCCCGGCUUGUGUGUUGGGCCCCGUCCCCCCCGCCGGGGGGACGGGCCCGAAAGGCAGCGGCGGCACCGCGUCCGGUCCUCGAGCGUAUGGGGCUUCGUCACCCGCUCUAGUAGGCCCGGCCGGCGCCAGCCGACCCCCAACCUUUAAUUAUCUCAGGUUGACCUCGGAUCAGGUAGGGAUACCCGCUGAACUUAAGCAUAUCAAUAAGCGGAGGA
Molecule: ribosomal RNA, 354 nt
Filed under: uncultured fungus
Lineage: Eukaryota; Fungi
Description: eukaryotic LSU rRNA
Rfam family: 5.8S ribosomal RNA (bases 1-125)
Source: RNAcentral